RNAcentral lists this unclassified non-coding RNA (337 nucleotides) under soil metagenome. Its description in RNAcentral is "partial contains 5.8S ribosomal RNA, internal transcribed spacer 2, and large subunit ribosomal RNA". The stretch from base 1 to 119 matches the Rfam family "5.8S ribosomal RNA", at positions 35 to 154 of the family's 154-position model. The record is from RNAcentral.
GAUGAAGAACGUAGCGAAAUGCGAUACGUAAUGUGAAUUGCAAAUUCAGUGAAUCAUCGAAUCUUUGAACGCACAUUGCGCCCGGUAGUAUUCUGCCGGGCAUGCCUGUUCGAGCGUCAUUUCAACCAUCAAGCCCCAGCGCUUGUGUUGGGGGCCUGCGGCUGCCGCAGCCCCCUAAAAGCAGUGGCGGGCUCGCUAUCACACCGAGUGCAGUAGUUCAUCUUCUCUCCGGUCUUGUGAGGCGGGUUCCGGCCGUGAAACACCCCACUACAUUCAAGGUUGACCUCGGAUCAGGUAGGAAUACCCGCUGAACUUAAGCAUAUCAAUAAGCGGAGGA